GACGAACGCUGGCGGCGUGCUUAACACAUGCAAGUCGAACGGAAAGGCCCCUUUGGGGGUACUCGAGUGGCGAACGGGUGCGUAACACGUGAGUAACCUGCCCUUGACUUCGGGAUAACUUCAGGAAACUGGGGCUAAUACCGGAUAGGAAUCCUUGCUGCAUGGUGGGGGUUGGAAAGCUUCGGCGGUUUUGGAUGGACUCGCGGCUUAUCAGCUUGUUGGUGGGGUAGUGGCUUACCAAGGCUUUGACGGGUAGCCGGACUGUGAGGGCGACCGGCCACACUGGGACUGACAGACGGCCCAGACUCCGACGGGAGGCAGCAGUGGGGAAGAUUGCACAAUGGGCGGAAGGCUGAUGCAGAAACGCCGCGUGCGGUAUGACGGCCUUCGGGUUGUAAAACGCUUUCAGCAGGGGCGAAGCUUGUGGUGACGGUACCUGCAGAAGAAGCACCGGCUAACUACGUG
This 465-nucleotide ribosomal RNA is filed under the name uncultured bacterium. Its description in RNAcentral is "partial 16S ribosomal RNA". It matches the Rfam family "Bacterial small subunit ribosomal RNA", at positions 28 to 507 of the family's 1533-position model. The record is from RNAcentral.